Molecule: unclassified non-coding RNA, 278 nt
Filed under: Hevea brasiliensis (rubber tree)
Lineage: Eukaryota; Viridiplantae; Streptophyta; Magnoliopsida; Malpighiales; Euphorbiaceae
Source: RNAcentral
GACCCGAUCACCGAAAAAGACAAGGCGAUGGUACCGUACCACAUCGUGUCCGGCGACAAUGGUGACGCCUGGGUCGAGGUCAAGGGCAAGAAAUACAGCCCAAGUCAGAUCAGCGCCUUUAUCCUCACCAAGAUGAAGGAGACCGCAGAGGCCAAUCUCGGCAGCAAGGUGACGCAGGCCGUGAUCACCGUGCCGGCCUAUUUCAACGACGCACAGCGCCAGGCGACGAAGGAUGCCGGCCGCAUCGCCGGACUUGAAGUGCUGCGCAUCAUCAACGA